RNAcentral lists this ribosomal RNA (497 nucleotides) under uncultured bacterium. RNAcentral's name for it is "partial 16S ribosomal RNA". It matches the Rfam family "Bacterial small subunit ribosomal RNA", at positions 28 to 507 of the family's 1533-position model. The record is from RNAcentral.
GAUGAACGCUGGCGGCGUGCCUAAUACAUGCAAGUCGAGCGAACAGACGAGGACCUUGCUCCUCUGACUUUAGCGCCGGACGGGAGCGUCACUCGUGGUUAACCUACCUAUCAGACUGGGAUAACUACGGGAAACCGGAUCUAAUACCGGAUAAUAUAUUGCACCUCAUGGUUCACUAGUGAAAGUCGGUUUUGCUUUCACUAAUAGAUGGAUCCGCCUCGCAUUAGCUAGUUGGUAAGGUAACGGCUUAACAAGGCAACGAUGCGUACCCGACCUGAGAGGGUGAUCGGACACACUGGAUCUGAGACACGGUCCAGACACCGACGGGAGGCAGCAGUAGGGAAUCUUACGCAAGGCGGGAGAGCCGGACGGAGGAACGCCGCGGGAGUGAUGAAGGAGUUCGGAUCGGAAAACUCUGUUAUUAGGGGAGAACAAAUGUGUAAGUAACUAGGAACGUAUUGACGGUACCGAAACAGAAAGCCACGGCUAACUACGUG